UGGGGAAUUUUGGACAAUGGGCGCAAGCCUGAUCCAGCCAUUCCGCGUGAGUGAAGAAGGCCUUCGGGUUGUAAAGCUCUUUUGUCAGGGAGGAAAUUGACCAGGCUAAUACUCUGGUUAGAUGACAGUACCUGAAGAAUAAGCACCGGCUAACUACGUGCCAGCAGCCGCGGUAAUACGUAGGGUGCAAGCGUUAAUCGGAAUUACUGGGCGUAAAGCGUGCGCAGGCGGUUUUUUAAGCCAGAUGUGAAAUCCCCGAGCUUAACUUGGGAACUGCAUUUGGGACUGGAAGGCUAGAGUACGGCAGAGGGGGGCGGAAUUCCACGUGUAGCAGUGAAAUGCGUAGAGAUGUGGAGGAACACCGAUGGCGAAGGCAACCCCCUGGGCCUGUACUGACGCUCAUGCACGAAAGCGUGGGGAGCAAACA
RNAcentral lists this ribosomal RNA (427 nucleotides) under uncultured Vogesella sp. RNAcentral's name for it is "bacterial SSU rRNA". It matches the Rfam family "Bacterial small subunit ribosomal RNA", at positions 355 to 774 of the family's 1533-position model. Lineage: Bacteria; Pseudomonadati; Pseudomonadota; Betaproteobacteria; Neisseriales; Chromobacteriaceae. The record is from RNAcentral.